RNAcentral lists this ribosomal RNA (253 nucleotides) under uncultured bacterium. RNAcentral's name for it is "partial 16S ribosomal RNA". It matches the Rfam family "Bacterial small subunit ribosomal RNA", at positions 524 to 776 of the family's 1533-position model. The record is from RNAcentral.
UACAGAGGGUGCGAGCGUUAAUCGGAAUUACUGGGUGUAAAGGGCGCGUAGGCGGUAAGGAAAGUGUGAUGUGAAAGCCCCGGGCUUAACCUGGGAAGCGCAUCGCAAACUACCUAACUAGAGUAUAUGAGAGGGUGGCGGAAUUUCCGGUGUAGCGGUGAAAUGCGUAGAGAUCGGAAGGAAGGUCGAUGGCGAAGGCAGCCACCUGGCAUAAUACUGACGCUGAGGCGCGAAAGCGUGGGGAGCGAACAGG